GGGUUGUGAGGUUAAGCGACUAAGCGUACACGGUGGAUGCCCUGGCAGUCAGAGGCGAUGAAGGGCGUGCUAAUCUGCGAUAAGCGCCGGUAAGGUGAUAUGAACCGUUAUAACCGGCGAUACCCGAAUGGGGAAACCCAGUGUGAUUCGU
RNAcentral lists this ribosomal RNA (151 nucleotides) under Salmonella enterica subsp. enterica. Its description in RNAcentral is "partial 23S ribosomal RNA". It matches the Rfam family "Bacterial large subunit ribosomal RNA", at positions 1 to 141 of the family's 2925-position model. The record is from RNAcentral. Lineage: Bacteria; Pseudomonadati; Pseudomonadota; Gammaproteobacteria; Enterobacterales; Enterobacteriaceae. RNAcentral also lists the same sequence under 1 other name.